AACGAACGCUGGCGGCAUGCCUAACACAUGCAAGUCGAACGAGACCUUCGGGUCUAGUGGCGCACGGGUGCGUAACGCGUGGGAACCUGCCCUUAGGUUCGGAAUAACUCCCCGAAAGGGGUGCUAAUACCGGAUAAUGUCUUCGGACCAAAGAUUUAUCGCCUUUGGAUGGGCCCGCGUUGGAUUAGCUAGUUGGUAGGGUAAAAGCCUACCAAGGCGACGAUCCAUAGCUGGUCUGAGAGGAUGAUCAGCCACACUGGGACUGAGACACGGCCCAGACUCCUACGGGAGGCAGCAGUGGGGAAUAUUGGACACUGGGCGAAAGCCUGAUCCAGCAAUGCCGCGUGAGUGAUGAAGGCCUUAGGGUUGUAAAGCUCUUUUACCCGGGAUGAUAAUGACAGUACCGGGAGAAUAAGCUCCGGCUACCUCCGU
RNAcentral lists this ribosomal RNA (432 nucleotides) under uncultured bacterium. RNAcentral describes it as "partial 16S ribosomal RNA". It matches the Rfam family "Bacterial small subunit ribosomal RNA", at positions 29 to 506 of the family's 1533-position model. The record is from RNAcentral.